RNAcentral lists this ribosomal RNA (404 nucleotides) under Actinomycetes bacterium. RNAcentral's name for it is "Actinobacteria bacterium partial 16S ribosomal RNA". It matches the Rfam family "Bacterial small subunit ribosomal RNA", at positions 355 to 776 of the family's 1533-position model. The record is from RNAcentral. Lineage: Bacteria; Bacillati; Actinomycetota; Actinomycetes.
UGGGGAAUAUUGGACAAUGGGCGCAAGCCUGAUCCAGCCAUGCCGCGUGAGUGAUGAAGGCCCUAGGGUUGUAAAGCUCUCUCACCGGAGAAGAUAAUGACGGUAACCGGAGAAGAAGCCCCGGCUAACUUCGUGCCAGCAGCCGCGGUAAUACGAAGGGGGCUAGCGUUGUUCGGAUUUACUGGGCGUAAAGCGCACGUAGGCGGACUAUUAAGUCAGGGGUGAAAUCCCGGGGCUCAACCCCGGAACUGCCUUUGAUACUGGUAGUCUUGAGUUCGAGAGAGGUGAGUGGAAUUCCGAGUGUAGAGGUGAAAUUCGUAGAUAUUCGGAGGAACACCAGUGGCGAAGGCGGCUCACUGGCUCGAUACUGACGCUGAGGUGCGAAAGCGUGGGGAGCAAACAGG